This 1315-nucleotide long non-coding RNA is filed under the name Brassica napus (rape). RNAcentral describes it as "long non-coding RNA (BNAP_LNC008511)". Lineage: Eukaryota; Viridiplantae; Streptophyta; Magnoliopsida; Brassicales; Brassicaceae. The record is from RNAcentral.
CCCAAAGAACAGGCAGCUAGAACCCACACCGGAGUAACUUUUGAACACCAACUUAACAAGCAAAAUAACAAUACAUAACUACACAAAAGUAUGCAACAAACAGUGCAAAAGACCUCCAAGCUAAAUAGCAGGUAACGAGAAUCUGGAUAUAUCGAUGCUGCACUUGGCACGCCACACGAUACCAUCCACUUGUAGAACCCGAAGACCCCAUCGCGCCUUCUCAACCCGGAUCUAUCGCUGCCGCCUAUGGCCUGCCAAACGAUACCAUCCCCACUCGUAACUCAGAACCAAGACUUCAUAACCCAACUAGAGAGAUCGCUUCACAAUCCAAACAUCUCUCGGAUACGGCUUGAACGCACUCUUUGACGCCCACUUUUGCAUCUAGAUAGAAGUCCAACAAAACCUCCACACAACCAAGCUUCGCCGCUCACAUCUGAAAACCAGAAUAAACAAUAACACACCAAAACGACGAAAGAUUCUUGCAACCACCAUAACCCGGAGAUAAUUUUGCAACUGAAUAUGUCGCUGCACUAACCACCGAUAGACUCCAAGAACCAACACCAUGAAACACGCAUGACAAUACCAUGAAACACGCAGGAGGAACCAACAGGUACACCACAGCUAAGAUAAUCUGCCUACCAGAAACUCCAUAAACAAAACCAUAACUAAGAGAAAUAGAAAAAGAUCCAGAAGCUGUCCACAUCGGAAUCGUCACCGAGCUGUCGCGAGACCACCAAUAAUAGAUGAGAGGAAGAAGCACAAACACCAACUGUUGCCGGUGCUGGUUCGCAGUGACAGACGAUCUCGAGAAACAAGGGCACACACCACCGUCUGAGAGAGAAGGGCGAGAAGCUUCCCAACCCAAAGAUAGGUAUGAGAAGAAGCUACGGUGGGAGCUCCGACGAAACUCAUCCACCGUCUUUCUCUUCACCCUGCCGCCAUGGAUCUGUAAGAUAUAUCCACAUCUAGUCCAACAACUAGAUCCGGAGGCUAUAUGUCUAGCCGGAUAUAUGAGCCCUCUCCGAAAGUAGAACUGAAGAGAAAAUCGCUUCGUUAACCAUAGCCGACCCCUCCUUACCCUCACCUAAACAAAAUCUCAUUUUUUCACCAGAUCUAACAUCUGAGAAGCGGAUCCACACCAAAUUCAAAUCCAGAGAAAAAGAUAUAUCGAUUCAUGAUGAGAGAAGCAAGGAGAGGCAAAACGAAAGAGGAAACUAGGGGUUCCGGCACCGGCGCUACUCGCCACCACCGGAAAAGCAAGGGUCGUAGAGGUUGUCUGCAAGGUGAAAAGAUGAGCAUAAUUGUUUAUGUUUCU